CAUGCAAGUCGUGCGAGAAAGUAUCUUCGGAUAUGAGUAGAGCGGCGGACGGGUGAGUAACGCGUAGGAAUCUACCUAGUAGAAGGGGAUAGCCCGGGGAAACCCGGAUUAAUACCGUAUACCUCCUUCGGGAGAAAGAAGGCCUCUCUUUGAAGCUUUCGCUAUUAGAUGAGCCUGCGUAAGAUUAGCUUGUUGGUGAGGUAAAGGCUCACCAAGGCGACGAUCUUUAGCUGGUCUGAGAGGACGAUCAGCCACAUUGGGACUGAGACACGGCCCAGACUCCUACGGGAGGCAGCAGUGGGGAAUAUUGGACAAUGGGCGCAAGCCUGAUCCAGCCAUACCGCGUGUGUGAAGAAGGCCUCCGGGUUGUAAAGCACUUUAAGCAGGGAGAAAAAGUUAUAAGUUAAUACCUUAUAACCGUGAUGUUACCUGCAGAAUAAGCACCGGCUAAUUCCGUGCCAGCAGCCGCGGUAAUACGGAAGGUGCAAGCGUUAAUCGGAAUUACUGGGCGUAAAGCGCGCGUAGGUGGUUUGUUAAGUUGGAUGUGAAAGCCCUGGGCUCAACCUAGGAACUGCAUCCAAAACUAACUCACUAGAGUAC
Molecule: ribosomal RNA, 600 nt
Filed under: uncultured Gammaproteobacteria bacterium
Lineage: Bacteria; Pseudomonadati; Pseudomonadota; Gammaproteobacteria
Description: bacterial SSU rRNA
Rfam family: Bacterial small subunit ribosomal RNA
Source: RNAcentral